Choloepus didactylus (southern two-toed sloth) is the source of this 1088-nucleotide long non-coding RNA. RefSeq lists it as uncharacterized. The transcript has 4 exons. NCBI's taxonomy places the organism in Eukaryota, Metazoa, Chordata, Mammalia, Pilosa, Megalonychidae. The record is from RefSeq and is a predicted model, not a curated record.
UCAGAGCAAGAGAAGAAAGCCCCCUAGCCGUGAUGAUCGUCACCAACUAGAAUGCCUGCUCACUGCACCGAUCGUUUUGGACACUCUGCAGAAGCAGGGUGGACUUGCCCACCCCAAAUUUGGCUUGCACGUCGAGAUUGAUGACCCCAUACACUGAGAAGGCACAAACAUCUUUGCCACGCACACAAGAGGCUCUUGGGGAAAGCAAGGUUUUCAUCCACUGCAAGUGUCAGUUAUUGGUGUCAACAUGAGGAUUUCCAUCCUGGGUUCCCAUUGAUUUAAGAUGCUUUUCUUCUACAAACCAGAGGAGUGGGAGAACUGGAUCUGCUCCUCCCAAGGAUGGAUUUGGAAGCUAUUGGUUGCCUGGGGAGAAGAGUAAGUGUGGAGACCCGAGCAGUUAGUGAAGAGGAAAAAAUAGGAGCUAACAGCAGCACAAUUUUGGACAGCUGAAUACCUUCCAGAUAUUGCUUUAGAAUAUCAGGAUCUUCCCCACCAUUGACUUAGGCAAUCCAAAGAUUUACUCAUGCUUCAGUUGGAAAGUUGUCAUGACCAUUUCAAUUAAGGGAAAUGGAGCAGAGUUUGUGGAGUACUCAUUAUACUACUGCAAAUAGAACACUAAGCCAUGUUUUGGAAAGUUUUAGAUACACUGGAGCUUUGGGCACAAAGCGAUGGAAAUUGGAGGCAGCAGAAUUGGAGAUGGUGAGUUUUCUCUGGUCGUUGGAAGUUCAGUUUGUCUUUGAAAUACUCUGCCAUUCAUGCUUUGUUUUAUUGUAGUCCCACCUUACCAGCUAAAUUACCCAUUACUUCUUUUUCUGGAUUCCAAACUUUCCAGGUACAUUCCUGAAUUACCUCACGAACAUAACAUUUUUGGGCUAAUCCCUAUCUUUGUAACAUACUAUACUAUCCACAUGGAAUGCCAAACCCCUUCUGAUAAUAAGAAUGCUUAUAAGCAUGUAUGUUUGGGCAUGCAUGCUUAAAAAUCUACUGUGUUUGUCAUAUAGAAGCUGAUUAAACUUUGUAGUCAAAACAACAUUAUAAGAUUGGCAAAGCGGUUGUUUUAUCUCUGUUGUAUAAAGAAAAAAUAUAAC